UGGAAAAAGGCAGGUAACUAUACCAGAAA
Molecule: small RNA, 29 nt
Filed under: Bombyx mori (domestic silkworm)
Lineage: Eukaryota; Metazoa; Arthropoda; Insecta; Lepidoptera; Bombycidae
Description: ovarian small RNA-34360
Source: RNAcentral